GAUGAACGCUAGCGGCAGGCCUAACACAUGCAAGUCGAGGGAGAAGCCCUUUCGGGGGCAGAAACCGGCGCACGGGUGCGUAACGCGUAUGCAACCUACCUUUCACAGGGGGAUAGCCCGAAGACAUUUGGAUUAAUACCCCAUAAUAUUAUUGUAUGGCAUCAUUUGAUAAUUAAAACUGCGGUGGUGAAAGAUGGGCAUGCGUCCUAUUAGCUAGUUGGAGUGGUAACGGCACCCCAAGGCUACGAUAGGUAGGGGUCCUGAGGGGGAGAUCCCCCACACUGGUACUGAGACAGGGACCAGACUCGUACGGGAGGCAGCAGUGAGGAAUAUUGGUCAAUGGUCGGAAGACUGAACCCGCCAUGCCGCGGGCAGGAAGAAUGCCUUAUGGGUUGUAAACUGCUUUUAUAUGGGAAGAAUAAGGCGUACGUGUACGUUGAUGACGGUACCAUAUGAAUAAGCAUCGGCUAACUCCGUG
Molecule: ribosomal RNA, 478 nt
Filed under: uncultured bacterium
Lineage: Bacteria
Description: partial 16S ribosomal RNA
Rfam family: Bacterial small subunit ribosomal RNA
Source: RNAcentral